AUUCCGUGCCAGCAGCCGCGGUAAUACGGGAGUGGCAAGCGUUAUCCGGAAUUAUUGGGCGUAAAGCGUCCGCAGGCGGCCCUUCAAGUCUGCUGUUAAAAAGUGGAGCUUAACUCCAUCAUGGCAGUGGAAACUGUUGGGCUUGAGUGUGGUAGGGGCAGAGGGAAUUCCCGGUGUAGCGGUGAAAUGCGUAGAUAUCGGGAAGAACACCAGUGGCGAAGGCGCUCUGCUGGGCCAUCACUGACGCUCAUGGACGAAAGCCAGGGGAGCGAAAGGGAUUAGAUACCCCUGUAGUCCUGGCCGUAAACGAUGAACACUAGGUGUCGGGGGAAUCGACCCCCUCGGUGUCGUAGCCAACGCGUUAAGUGUUCCGCCUGGGGAGUACGCACGCAAGUGUGAAACUCAAAGGAAUUGACGGAAU
This 421-nucleotide ribosomal RNA is filed under the name uncultured bacterium. Its description in RNAcentral is "bacterial SSU rRNA". It matches the Rfam family "Bacterial small subunit ribosomal RNA", at positions 500 to 919 of the family's 1533-position model. The record is from RNAcentral.